CCUACGGGUGGCAGCAGUGAGGAAUAUUGGUCAAUGGGCGAGAGCCUGAACCAGCCAAGUCGCGUGAGGGAGUACUGCCCUAUGGGUUGUAAACCUCUUUUGUCGGGGAGCAAAAGCCGGACGUGUCCGGCUGUGAGAGUACCCGAAGAAAAAGCAUCGGCUAACUCCGUGUCAGCAGCCGCGGUAAUACGGAGGAUGCGAGCGUUAUCCGGAUUUAUUGGGUUUAAAGGGUGCGCAGGCGGAUUUUUAAGUCAGCGGUAAAAUCGUGGGGCUCAACCCCAUCCAGCCGUUGAAACUGGGGAUCUAGAGUGUGCGAGAGGUAUGCGGAAUGCGAGGUGUAGCGGUGAAAUGCAUAGAUAUCACGCAGAACCCCGAUUGCGAAGGCAGCAUACCGGUGCACAACUGACGCUCAGGCACGAAAGCGUGGGUAUCGAACAGGAUUAGAUACCCGGGUAGUC
This 458-nucleotide ribosomal RNA is filed under the name uncultured bacterium. Its description in RNAcentral is "partial 16S ribosomal RNA". It matches the Rfam family "Bacterial small subunit ribosomal RNA", at positions 338 to 795 of the family's 1533-position model. The record is from RNAcentral.